CCCUUAGAUGUUCUGGGCUGCACGCGUGUUACAAUCGGGAGUACAACAAGAUUGCAAAUCCUAGUGGAUGAGUGGUUCUUCGAAAUUUUCUGAAGACUGGGAUAGUUGUUUGAAAUUAUUCAACUCAAACGAGGAAUUCCUUGUAAUUGUAAUUCAUUAUAUUGUAAUGAAUACGUCCCUGCCCUUUGUACACACCGCCCGUCGCUCCUACCGAUUGAACGAUCCGGUGAAUUAUUUGGAGUAGCUCUGGAAGUUGCAGAACUUCCUAUGUCACGAAAUUUUGUAAACCUUAUCGUUUAGAGGAAGGAAAAGUCGUAACA
This 320-nucleotide ribosomal RNA is filed under the name uncultured eukaryote. RNAcentral describes it as "partial 18S ribosomal RNA". It matches the Rfam family "Eukaryotic small subunit ribosomal RNA", at positions 1470 to 1796 of the family's 1831-position model. The record is from RNAcentral.